AGUCAAUGAGCUUGAACAAGCAUAUGUUUUGAAAACAUAAGAUAGAAAUAAAUCUUUCUAUUGACUU
This 67-nucleotide transfer RNA is filed under the name Bactrocera melastomatos. RNAcentral describes it as "tRNA-Ser". Lineage: Eukaryota; Metazoa; Arthropoda; Insecta; Diptera; Tephritidae. RNAcentral also lists the same sequence under 1 other name. The record is from RNAcentral.